CUGCGAAAGCCGGAUUAAUACCGCAUACGCUCUGCGGAGGAAAGCGGGGGAUCCUUCGGGACCUCGCGCUACAGGGGCGGCCGAUGGCGGAUUAGCUAGUUGGUGGGGUAAAGGCCUACCAAGGCGACGAUCCGUAGCUGGUCUGAGAGGACGACCAGCCACACUGGGACUGAGACACGGCCCAGACUCCUACGGGAGGCAGCAGUGGGGAAUUUUGGACAAUGGGGGCAACCCUGAUCCAGCAAUGCCGCGUGUGUGAAGAAGGCCUUCGGGUUGUAAAGCACUUUUGUCCGGAAAGAAAUCCUCUGGGUUAAUACCUCGGGGGGAUGACGGUACCGGAAGAAUAAGCACCGGCUAACUACGUGCCAGCAGCCGCGGUAAUACGUAGGGUGCGAGCGUUAAUCGGAAUUACUGGGCGUAAAGCGUGCGCAGGCGGUUCGCUAAGACCGAUGUGAAAUCCCCGGGCUUAACCUGGGAACUGCAUUGGUGACUGGCGAGCUAGAGUAUGGCA
This 511-nucleotide ribosomal RNA is filed under the name uncultured Burkholderia sp. Its description in RNAcentral is "bacterial SSU rRNA". It matches the Rfam family "Bacterial small subunit ribosomal RNA", at positions 149 to 653 of the family's 1533-position model. Lineage: Bacteria; Pseudomonadati; Pseudomonadota; Betaproteobacteria; Burkholderiales; Burkholderiaceae. The record is from RNAcentral.